This 460-nucleotide ribosomal RNA is filed under the name uncultured bacterium. RNAcentral describes it as "partial 16S ribosomal RNA". It matches the Rfam family "Bacterial small subunit ribosomal RNA", at positions 338 to 795 of the family's 1533-position model. The record is from RNAcentral.
CCUACGGGUGGCAGCAGUGAGGAAUAUUGGUCAAUGGACGAGAGUCUGAACCAGCCAAGUAGCGUGAAGGAUGACUGCCCUAUGGGUUGUAAACUUCUUUUAUAUGGGAAUAAAACGUUCCACGUGUGGGAUUUUGUAUGUACCAUAUGAAUAAGGAUCGGCUAAAUCCGUGCCAGCAGCCGCGGUAAUACGGAGGAUCCGAGCGUUAUUCGGAUUUAUUGGGUUUAAAGGGAGCGUAGGUGGAUUGUUAAGUCAGUUGUGAAAGUUUGCGGCUCAACCGUAAAAUUGCAGUUGAAACUGGCAGUCUUGAGUACAGUAGAGGUGGGCGGAAUUCGUGGUGUAGCGGUGAAAUGCUUAGAUAUCACGAAGAACUCCGAUUGCGAAGGCAGUUCACUGGACUGCAACUGACACUGAGGCUCGAAAGUGUGGGUAUCAAACAGGAUUAGAUACCCCUGUAGUC